RNAcentral lists this ribosomal RNA (465 nucleotides) under uncultured bacterium. Its description in RNAcentral is "partial 16S ribosomal RNA". It matches the Rfam family "Bacterial small subunit ribosomal RNA", at positions 28 to 507 of the family's 1533-position model. The record is from RNAcentral.
GACGAACGCUGGCGGCGUGCUUAACACAUGCAAGUCGAACGGAAAGGCCCUGCUUGCAGGGUACUCGAGUGGCGAACGGGUGAGUAACACGUGGGUGAUCUGCCCUGCACUUCGGGAUAAGCCUGGGAAACUGGGUCUAAUACCGGAUAGGAGCCAUUUUUAGUGUGAUGGUUGGAAAGUUUUUUCGGUGUAGAAUGAGCUCGCGGCCUAUCAGCUUGUUGGUGGGGUAAUGGCCUACCAAGGCGGCGACGGGUAGCCGGCCUGAGAGGGUGGACGGCCACAUUGGGACUGAGAGACGGCCCAGACUCCUACGGGAGGCAGCAGUGGGGAAUAUUGCACAAUGGGCGCAAGCCUGAUGCAGCGACGCCGCGUGGGGGAUGACGGCCUUCGGGUUGUAAACUCCUUUCGCUAGGGACGAAGCUUUUUGUGACGGUACCUAGAUAAGAAGCACCGGCUAACUACGUG